This 113-nucleotide microRNA precursor is filed under the name Podarcis lilfordi (Lilford's wall lizard). The record is from RNAcentral. Lineage: Eukaryota; Metazoa; Chordata; Lepidosauria; Squamata; Lacertidae.
AACUAAGUUUGUUCUGGGUAUAAGCUUUUGUGUGCAUGCACACUUCUUCAGAUACACAGUGUAUCUGAAGAAGUGUGCUGGCACACAAAAGCUUUGUUGUUGUUUAGUCGUUU